RNAcentral lists this ribosomal RNA (500 nucleotides) under uncultured bacterium. Its description in RNAcentral is "partial 16S ribosomal RNA". It matches the Rfam family "Bacterial small subunit ribosomal RNA", at positions 28 to 523 of the family's 1533-position model. The record is from RNAcentral.
GAUGAACGCUAGCGGCAGGCUUAAUACAUGCAAGUCGAGGGACAGCACAGGUAGCAAUACUGGGUGGUAACCGGCAAACGGGUGCGGAACACGUACACAACCUUCCUUUGAGUGGGGGAUAGCCCAGAGAAACUUGGAUUAAUACCCCGUAAUAUAGUUGAAUGGCAUCAUUUGAUUAUUAUAGCUACGGCGCUUAAUGAUGGGUGUGCGGCUGAUUAGAUAGUUGGCGGGGUAACGGCCCACCAAGUCUACGAUCAGUAGCUGAUGUGAGAGCAUGAUCAGCCACACGGGCACUGAGACACGGGACCGACUCCUACGGGAGGCAGCAGUAAGGAAUAUUGGUCAAUGGACGCAAGUCUGAACCAGCCAUGCCGCGUGAAGGAUUAAGGUCCUCUGGAUUGUAAACUUCUUUUAUUUGGGACGAAAAAGGGUCUUUCUAGGUCAACUGACGGUACCAGAUGAAUAAGCACCGGCUAACUCCGUGCCAGCCGCCGCGGUAA